This 74-nucleotide transfer RNA is filed under the name Anguilla anguilla (European eel). RNAcentral describes it as "tRNA-OTHER". Lineage: Eukaryota; Metazoa; Chordata; Actinopteri; Anguilliformes; Anguillidae. The record is from RNAcentral.
GUACUGUGUAGCGCAGUGGGUAAGGAUCUGGGCUUGUAACCGAAAGGUCAUAGGUUCAAUUCCUGGAUAGGACA